This 1158-nucleotide long non-coding RNA is filed under the name Varroa destructor (honeybee mite). RNAcentral's name for it is "uncharacterized LOC111245803, transcript variant X1". Lineage: Eukaryota; Metazoa; Arthropoda; Arachnida; Mesostigmata; Varroidae. The record is from RNAcentral.
GUUUCUACCAACGUUUGAACGUCUUGCCGGCCGUGGCUUUUCUCUUUUGAGUUAUCUGAUUCAAGGUUACCGAAUUGCGGAAUGACGUAACGUAAUCAGGCCUAUCGUCUACUCGUCAUAAAAGCCAAUAACGGAUAUCUUCAUAGCGCAACCUCUGUGACAUCUUCUAUUGUUGAUGACUAAUCUCGUAGCUCUCGGAAUCUGUUGCGUAAGUCUUUCGCCAUUGGGGAAAUCGCGUGUACUGCCAAGGCUGGCUAAAACUGAUGGAAGUUAUAGGAAAUGACGAAGAAGUGUUGAAAUGCAGCAUAGCUGGUGCGUCAACGAUGCCGCCGAUUCUGGUCAUAUCGAAGCGGAAGGUGAUGAACGCAACAGAAAGAGUGUUACUUUCGAUUUGGUGGAAAUGCCGAGCUGCCAUAGCGGAACAUGGCGACUACAUAAGAGCUGGCCAUUUCGUUGUGGCGGUGCAGUCUCGCGGCAUCUUUCCCUAUUGUAGGUAAACUGUGUCCUUUACUAGGAUAAAUCGGAUGCAGUCCACACGCCGUAUGAACUAUAACCAGUAACGCUGGUUAUAGUUCGUGCGGGCACAACUUUACGAAGGAGAAACGGGCCAAUCAAGGACGAAACGCAAUGCCAGAAGAUGUCAGAGAUACGCGUUUUGGAUAAUCGAAUAGAAUAUGCAGAACGUGUUACCGUGCGGAGGCAUAAGAGAUAAAGCUGAAUUAGAUGUUCGAAUCGAUACCGACGACGUUUUCCUUAUACCGCUCCCAAAACAGGAUCACAAAAAUGUGCCUAUUGCCCGAGCCUAGCGAUAGAAUAUAUUUUACGUCUGGGAUAGAUCGAAAAUGUUGGUAAGUCAUUUUCGUUGACGGACAAAAUGUUGCUUUCUGAUCGAUAUUCAGACUCGUUGCGGGUCUGCUCUGGCCUGAUCCCUGAUCAUAAUCAUGUCAUUUUGACACGGAGUUACUAUACUGCAAUCGAAAAACAGUUGCCAACCCCUCGCCACGAAGGAACAGCUAUUAAAUUUUAACUAUUAAUAGUGGUAUUCGAAAAUAUCAGUUAGAACCUAUGUUGUACAUAGAACACGUUCAGGGGCCCGACGGAGACAUCGUAACGUUGGCUUGUCAUUUCUAUAACUUCAAUUGCGGUGAACGUGUAUAG